UUUCCGUAGGUGAACCUGCGGAAGGAUCAUUAUUAUAUAACCUAGAUACGAAAACUGUCAAUUACCCGAAAGAUCGUUCACGCCCGAGUUCCCUCACAAACAUACAGCUCACCCAUAUAUACACGACCGCGUGGGUGCACCUUUGGCUAUAUUGGAGGAGGUGUUACGUUUUCACACAAACUUUGUAUUCAAUAUACAAUGUAUUUUUUGUUUUUGCUAUAACGCCAUCAAUACAACUUUCAACAACGGAUCUCGAAGCUAUCACAUCGGUGAAGAACA
Molecule: unclassified non-coding RNA, 279 nt
Filed under: plant metagenome
Description: partial contains small subunit ribosomal RNA, internal transcribed spacer 1, and 5.8S ribosomal RNA
Source: RNAcentral